UACAGGGGGGGCAAGCGUUGUUCGGAAUUACUGGGCGUAAAGCGUGCGCAGGCGGUUCGCUAAGACAGAUGUGAAAUCCCCGGGCUUAACCUGGGAACUGCAUUUGUGACUGGCGGGCUAGAGUAUGGCAGAGGGGGGUAGAAUUCCACGUGUAGCAGUGAAAUGCGUAGAGAUGUGGAGGAAUACCGAUGGCGAAGGCAGCCCCCUGGGCCAAUACUGACGCUCAUGCACGAAAGCGUGGGGAGCAAACAGG
RNAcentral lists this ribosomal RNA (253 nucleotides) under uncultured bacterium. Its description in RNAcentral is "partial 16S ribosomal RNA". It matches the Rfam family "Bacterial small subunit ribosomal RNA", at positions 524 to 776 of the family's 1533-position model. The record is from RNAcentral.